UAGCAAAGUAACUGCCUGCUCAAGGGGACAACAGAGUUCAUUUAUAUAUUAAGCUUAACUAGGUUCUAAGUUUUUAGACCUAGAGUAUCAGUUACCAGCCCAGACCUAUAACCACUCAUGUGCACCAUCCCAAAAUGUAUAGCUUCGCCACCCGUUCCAUCUUUUCAUCUGAGCACUCAUACCGGCGGGUUCAUGGUGCGUCUGGCCGCUCUCACUCUCUUCUGGGCCGCAGCGGCUCUGGCGCGGCGGAUCCUCCUCGAACACGAGCUUGAACUCGAACUCUCCCUCCUCCCAGCCCGAGCCCGGCGCGGCCCCCAUCGCUCACUCCGAGAAAAGUACAACCAAGACCGGCUACAGAUAUAUCACCGACUCUCUCACUUCUCAAUAUCGGACAAGACACUGAUGCUGAAGGCUGAUCCAUCCGUGACGCCAUAACGAUAGGUAUGCCCCUCUCUCUCUUCCCAUCAUACUUUCCCCCUUCUUUGUCCCUCCCCUUCCUUCUCCCCAACUCUUUAUCCCAG
Long non-coding RNA from Cyprinus carpio carpio, 521 nucleotides. NCBI's taxonomy places the organism in Eukaryota, Metazoa, Chordata, Actinopteri, Cypriniformes, Cyprinidae. The record is from Ensembl.